CCCAGCCAUUCCAGCCUGUUGCCCAGGGGAUGGUGGAUUCAGCUCAAAUAGUAUCCAUGGUAAAAAAGAAUCCAGACACAGCACAGGUGGAGGGCAGUGUCUGAGGGCCUCAUGGGUCCUGGACCUGACUCCUGCACCUGCACAUGGGACAGGACACCUGGAAUAAGAGGGAACAUCCUGAUUCUCCUCAGAGAUGGCCAGGACUCCAGAGUUCAGGUUCUCACAUGUUGUGUGGCUUUUGGGCUAAAACACACCUGAAACACUGA
Molecule: long non-coding RNA, 266 nt
Filed under: Pan troglodytes (chimpanzee)
Lineage: Eukaryota; Metazoa; Chordata; Mammalia; Primates; Hominidae
Description: lncRNA (ENSPTRG00000053264.1)
Source: RNAcentral